UAUAUCUCCCAAUUGAUACGAUAUUCCCGUGCUUGCAUUUCUUAUCAUGAUUUUCUUGAUAGAGGGUUGCUGCUCACAAGGAAGCUAUUAAACCAAGAGUUCCAAAUGGGGAAGUUGAAAUCACCCCUUCGUAAAUUUUACGGACGCCAUCACGAGUUGGUUGACCGUUAUGGAAUAACCGUUUCACAAAUGAUAUCGGAUAUGUUCCUUACGUCGUAACUACAAUCCCC
This 230-nucleotide long non-coding RNA is filed under the name Mytilus galloprovincialis (Mediterranean mussel). The record is from RNAcentral. Lineage: Eukaryota; Metazoa; Mollusca; Bivalvia; Mytilida; Mytilidae.